UUACGGUCAUAUCACGUUGAAACACAGGUUUAUGUAUGAUCACCGAAGUUAAGCAACCUUGAGUCUGGUCAGUACUUAGAUGGGUGACAGUCUAUUAAUACCAGGUGCUGCAAGC
Molecule: non-coding RNA, 115 nt
Organism: Acanthosepion pharaonis
Lineage: Eukaryota; Metazoa; Mollusca; Cephalopoda; Sepiida; Sepiidae
Source: the annotation of a GenBank genome assembly